GAUGAAGAACGUAGCGAAAUGCGAUAAGUAAUGUGAAUUGCAGAAUUCAGUGAAUCAUCGAAUCUUUGAACGCACCUUGCACCCUUUGGCAUUCCGAAGGGUAUGCUCGUUUGAGUGUCAUUGUACUCUCACACUCCCACUCUUUUGGAUUGGGAGCGGUGGACUUGGGUGUUGCUGCUUCACUGUGGCUCGCCUCAAAUGGAGUAGUGCAACUCUCGGUUGGACAUAGUACGGCGUGAUAAGUGUCUUCGCCGGCGCCUCACUAGAGGGUGGCCGAUCGGGAGCUCUGUGCUUCAAACCGUCUUCGGACAAUCUCUGACAACUUGACCUCAAAUCGAGUAGGACUACCCGCUGAACUUAAGCAUAUCAAUAAGCGGGGA
RNAcentral lists this unclassified non-coding RNA (380 nucleotides) under soil metagenome. RNAcentral's name for it is "partial contains 5.8S ribosomal RNA, internal transcribed spacer 2, and large subunit ribosomal RNA". The stretch from base 1 to 120 matches the Rfam family "5.8S ribosomal RNA", at positions 35 to 154 of the family's 154-position model. The record is from RNAcentral.